RNAcentral lists this long non-coding RNA (1093 nucleotides) under Canis lupus familiaris (dog). RNAcentral's name for it is "lncRNA (ENSCAFG00000051156.1)". The record is from RNAcentral. Lineage: Eukaryota; Metazoa; Chordata; Mammalia; Carnivora; Canidae.
CACAGUCGCUCUGGAAGGCAGGAUCCAGAUUCAUCUGCAGGACUGGUGCAUGAGGCCAAAGUUGGAUGAGAUCAUACUCUUUGCUUGAGGUAAUGUAAGGCCUCCUUCAGGCAGACUACUUGGUCUUCAUGAGCUAAGCCAUGCAGAUGAUGGAUGAACAGGAGAUCCCAAAACCUUGCCUCCCUUUUCCCUGACACGGUCAGCGAAGUCUAUGCUUCUUAAGAGUGGGAGCUGCUGUCAGCCACAUGGCUGUCCUCCUGUUGGAUCCAUGUGUAGUGGAGGGGGGCCAUGCUGGCCUCAGAGCUCUGUUGUGAGACAUUCAGUGGCCGUGAUGUGCAGGAUGGUGUGGACAUUGCUCUGAUGCUUGCUAAGCAGUUUGAAAAUUUUGCUGAUCCUGGUCCUAGACUGUGUCUAACCCUUACAACCACUAGCCAAGAUGGAAGGUUCCUGGUUACUCCGCUCUUGGGCAUGGAUCAUCUCUGGGGUCCUCUGAAGAGAAAGGGUGAGUUCUACUUUCAAGACUGGAUGAAAGUAAUCCUGCCACACGACUGAGGGUUGUUUGAACGUCCAAAUAUCUUUUGAGACCUGAACUCAGGAUCCCUGAGAUCAAGACCUGAGCCAAGAUCAAGAAUCAGAUGCCCAACCAACUGAGCCACCCAGGUGCCCCCAGUUGGAGCCUCCACAUAUCUUGUGAGUGCUGCAGAGAUAAAAAUUCUUGUUGAGCAGUAGAUACUACAGAGCCCAUCAGCUUAUUGAUAAAGCCUAUGGACUAUAGAGUCAUACUUCCUGGGUUUCAAUCUUAUCUCUUCUGUUUGCUAGCAGGGUGACUUAGCAAAUUACUCAACCUCUCUGUGCCUUGAUUUCUUCAACUGAGAAAGGGGGAUGCUGAUUAUUGUACCUAUUUCAGUAUACUGUGUUGUGAGAAAUAAAUGAAAUAAUAUGCAUAAAGCCUUUUAAAAGUGUCUGUUUUCUUUUCCUUUAUACAUUUGUUUUGUUUCUUAAAUUCCACAUGAGUGAAAUCAUAUGAUAUUUGUCUUUCUCUGACUGACUUUUUUUAGCAUUAUACUCUUUAGAUCACUAUAUUGUAUGCUUG